AACGAACGCUGGCGGCAGGCUUAACACAUGCAAGUCGAACGCCCCGCAAGGGGAGUGGCAGACGGGGGAGUAACGCGUGGGAAUCUACCCAUCCCUACGGAACAACUCCGGGAAACUGGAGCUAAUACCGUAUACGACCUACGGGGGAAAGAUUUAUCGGGGAUGGAUGAGCCGUCGUUGGAUUAGCUAGUUGGUGGGGUAAAGGCCUACCAAGGCGACGAUCCAUAGCUGGACUGAGAGGAUGAUCAGCCACAUUGGGACUGAGACACGGCCCAAGCUCAUUCAGGAGGAAGCAGUGGAGAAUAUUGGACAAUGGGCGCAAGCCAGAUCCAGCCAUGCAGGUUGAGUGAUGAGUGUCUUAGGAUUGUAAAGCUCUUUCACCGAUGAAGAUAAUGACGGUAGUCGGAGAAGAAGCCCCGGCUAACUUCGUGCCAGCCGCCGCAGUAA
RNAcentral lists this ribosomal RNA (447 nucleotides) under uncultured bacterium. Its description in RNAcentral is "partial 16S ribosomal RNA". It matches the Rfam family "Bacterial small subunit ribosomal RNA", at positions 29 to 523 of the family's 1533-position model. The record is from RNAcentral.